Molecule: ribosomal RNA, 253 nt
Filed under: uncultured bacterium
Lineage: Bacteria
Description: partial 16S ribosomal RNA
Rfam family: Bacterial small subunit ribosomal RNA
Source: RNAcentral
UACGCAGGGGGCAAGCGUUGUUCGGAUUUACUGGGCGUAAAGCGCACGUAGGCGGCCUGUUAAGUUAGGGGUGAAAUCGCAGCGCUCAACGGCGUGCUCGCCAUUGAUACUGACGGGCUUGAGGGCGGUCGAGGGGGCUGGAAGGCGUAGUGUAGAGGUGAAAUGCAUAGAUAUUACGCAGAACGCCGAUGGCGAAGGCGGGCUCCUGGGGCGCUACUGACGCUGAGGCGCGAAAGUGUGGGGAGCGAACAGG